RNAcentral lists this ribosomal RNA (506 nucleotides) under Parabacteroides sp. AM27-42. RNAcentral describes it as "bacterial LSU rRNA". It matches the Rfam family "Bacterial large subunit ribosomal RNA", at positions 1849 to 2364 of the family's 2925-position model. Lineage: Bacteria; Pseudomonadati; Bacteroidota; Bacteroidia; Bacteroidales; Tannerellaceae. The record is from RNAcentral.
AGCCUGACACCUGCCCGGUGCUGGAAGGUUAAGAGGAGAUGUCAUCGCAAGAGAAGCGUUGAAUUGAAGCCCCAGUAAACGGCGGCCGUAACUAUAACGGUCCUAAGGUAGCGAAAUUCCUUGUCGGGUAAGUUCCGACCUGCACGAAUGGUGUAAUGAUCUGGACACUGUCUCAACCGUGAGCUCGGUGAAAUUGUAGUAUCGGUGAAGAUGCCGAUUACCCGCGAUGGGACGAAAAGACCCCGUGAACCUUUACUAUAGCUUUACAUUGAAUUUGGGCAGACGAUGUGUAGGAUAGGCCGGAGGCUUUGAAGGGGGUACGCCAGUAUCCUUGGAGCCGCCGUUGAAAUACGGCCCUUCGGUUGUUUGAGUUCUAACUCCUAGGCAGGAGGACACUGUAUGGUGGGUAGUUUGACUGGGGUGGUCGCCUCCAAAAGCGUAACGGAGGCUUCUAAAGGUGCCCUCAGACCGAUUGGUAACCGGUCGUAGAGUGUAAUGGCAUAAGG